CCUACGGGGGGCAGCAGUAGGGAAUCUUCCACAAUGGGCGAAAGCCUGAUGGAGCAACGCCGCGUGGGUGAAGAAGGUCUUCGGAUCGUAAAACCCUGUUGUUAGAGAAGAAAGUGCGUGAGAGUAACUGUUCACGUUUCGACGGUAUCUAACCAGAAAGCCACGGCUAACUACGUGCCAGCAGCCGCGGUAAUACGUAGGUGGCAAGCGUUAUCCGGAUUUAUUGGGCGUAAAGGGAACGCAGGCGGUCUUUUAAGUCUGAUGUGAAAGCCUUCGGCUUAACCGGAGUAGUGCAUGGGAAACUGGGAGACUGGAGUGCAGAAGAGGAGAGUGGAACUCCAUGUGUAGCGGUGAAAUGCGUAGAUAUAUGGAAGAACACCAGUGGCGAAAGCGGCUCUCUGGUCUGUAACUGACGCUGAGGUUCGAAAGCGUGGGUAGCAAACAGGAUUAGAUACCCCAGUAGUC
This 465-nucleotide ribosomal RNA is filed under the name uncultured bacterium. RNAcentral's name for it is "partial 16S ribosomal RNA". It matches the Rfam family "Bacterial small subunit ribosomal RNA", at positions 338 to 795 of the family's 1533-position model. The record is from RNAcentral.